UCCGGCAGCCAUAUCACCCUGUAGCCCAAGACUGGUUGCCCACUGAAGCUAAGCAGGGCUGAGCCUGGUCAGUACCUGGAUGGGAGAAACGUUAAGUAAAGAAAGCUGAGCAAUAUGGGAC
This 121-nucleotide ribosomal RNA is filed under the name Sinocyclocheilus grahami. Lineage: Eukaryota; Metazoa; Chordata; Actinopteri; Cypriniformes; Cyprinidae. The record is from RNAcentral.